GUAAAAAGUAGAAUAAUAGAUUUGAAAUAUUUAUUAUAUAGAUUUAAAGAGAUAAUCAUGGAGUAUAAAUUAUUAAAAAUAAGUUUUAUUUAAAUUUUUAAUAAUAACUAUUAAUAGAAUUAGGUUACAAAUAAAUUAAUAAUAAUUAAUUUUAAAACCUAAAGGGAAACCUUAAUAUUAAUAAUAUAUAUUAUUUAUAUUAUUAAUAUGAUAAUAACUAAGUGAACUGAAACAUCUAAGUAACUUAAGGAUAAUAAAUCAACAGAGAUAUUAUGAGUAUUGGUGAGAGAAAAUAAUAAAGGUCUAAUAAGUAUUAUGUGAAAAAAAUGUAAGAAAAUAGGAUAACAAAUUCUAAGACUAAAUACUAUUAAUAAGUAUAGUAAGUACCGUAAGGGAAAGUAUGAAAAUGAUUAUUUUAUAAGCAAUCAUGAAUAUAUUAUAUUAUAUUAAUGAUGUACCUUUUGUAUAAUGGGUCAGCAAGUAAUUAAUAUUAGUAAAACAAUAAGUUAUAAAUAAAUAGAAUAAUAUAUAUAUAUAAAAAAAUAUAUUAAAAUAUUUAAUUAAUAUUAAUUGACCCGAAAGCAAACGAUCUAACUAUGAUAAGAUGGAUAAACGAUCGAACAGGUUGAUGUUGCAAUAUCAUCUGAUUAAUUGUGGUUAGUAGUGAAAGACAAAUCUGGUUUGCAGAUAGCUGGUUUUCUAUGAAAUAUAUGUAAGUAUAGCCUUUAUAAAUAAUAAUUAUUAUAUAAUAUUAUAUUAAUAUUAUAUAAAGAAUGGUACAGCAAUUAAUAUAUAUUAGGGAACUAUUAAAGUUUUAUUAAUAAUAUUAAAUCUCGAAAUAUUUAAUUAUAUAUAAUAAAGAGUCAGAUUAUGUGCGAUAAGGUAAAUAAUCUAAAGGGAAACAGCCCAGAUUAAGAUAUAAAGUUCCUAAUAAAUAAUAAGUGAAAUAAAUAUUAAAAUAUUAUAAUAUAAUCAGUUAAUGGGUUUGACAAUAACCACUUUUUAAUGAACAUGUAACAAUGCACUGAUUUAUAAUAAAUAAAAAAAUAAUAUUUAAAAUCAAAUAUAUAUAUUUGUUAAUAGAUAAUAUACGGAUCUUAAUAAUAAGAAUUAUUUAAUUCCUAAUAUGGAAUAUUAUAUUUUUAUAAUAAAAAAUAUAAAUACUGAAUAUCUAAAUAUUAUUAUUACUUUUUUUUUUUUAAUAAUAAUAAUAUGGUAAUAGAACAUUUAAUGAUAAUAUAUAUUAGUUAUUAAUUAAUAUAUGUAUUAAUUAAAUAGAGAAUGCUGACAUGAGUAACGAAAAAAAGGUAUAAACCUUUUCACCUAAAACAUAAGGUUUAACUAUAAAAGUACGGCCCCUAAUUAAAUUAAUAAGAAUAUAAAUAUAUUUAAGAUGGGAUAAUCUAUAUUAAUAAAAAUUUAUCUUAAAAUAUAUAUAUUAUUAAUAAUUAUAUUAAUUAAUUAAUAAUAUAUAUAAUUAUAUUAUAUUAUAUAUUAUAUUUUUAAUAUAUAUAUAUAUAUAUAUAUAAACUAAUAAAGAUCAGGAAAUAAUUAAUGUAUACCGUAAUGUAGACCGACUCAGGUAUGUAAGUAGAGAAUAUGAAGGUGAAUUAGAUAAUUAAAGGGAAGGAACUCGGCAAAGAUAGCUCAUAAGUUAGUCAAUAAAGAGUAAUAAGAACAAAGUUGUACAACUGUUUACUAAAAACACCGCACUUUGCAGAAACGAUAAGUUUAAGUAUAAGGUGUGAACUCUGCUCCAUGCUUAAUAUAUAAAUAAGAUUAUUUAACGAUAAUUUAAUUAAAUUUAGGUAAAUAGCAGCCUUAUUAUGAGGGUUAUAAUGUAGCGAAAUUCCUUGGCCUAUAAUUGAGGUCCCGCAUGAAUGACGUAAUGAUACAACAACUGUCUCCCCUUUAAGCUAAGUGAAAUUGAAAUCGUAGUGAAGAUGCUAUGUACCUUCAGCAAGACGGAAAGACCCUAUGCAGCUUUACUGUAAUUAGAUAGAUCGAAUUAUUGUUUAUUAUAUUCAGCAUAUUAAGUAAUCCUAUUAUUAGGUAAUCGUUUAGAUAUUAAUGAGAUACUUAUUAUAAUAUAAUGAUAAUUCUAAUCUUAUAAAUAAUUAUUAUUAAUAAUAAUAAUAGUGAUAAACAUAUUUAUAUGAUAAUCACUUUACUUAAUAGAUAUAAUUCUUAAGUAAUAUAUAAUAUAUAUUAUAUAUAUAUUAUAUAUAAUAUAAGAGACAAUCUCUAAUUGGUAGUUUUGAUGGGGCGUCAUUAUCAGCAAAAGUAUCUGAAUAAGUCCAUAAAUAAAUAUAUAAAAUUAUUGAAUAAAAAAAUAAUAUAUAUUAUAUAUAUUAAUUAUAAAUUGAAAUAUGUUUAUAUAAAUUUAUAUUUAUUGAAUAUAUUUUAGUAAUAGAUAAAAAUAUGUACAGUAAAAUUGUAAGGAAAACAAUAAUAACUUUCUCCUCUCUCGGUGGGGGUUCACACCUAUUUUUAAUAGGUGUUCACUCCUCUUCGGGGUUUCGGUUCCCUUUCGGGUCCCGAAACUAAAUAAUUAUAUUAUGGAAAGAAUUAAAUUAAUAUAAUGGUAUAACUGUGCGAUAAUUGUAACACAAACGAGUGAAACAAGUACGUAAGUAUGGCAUAAUGAACAAAUAACACUGAUUGUAAAGGUUAUUGAUAACGAAUAAAAGUUACGCUAGGGAUAACAGGGUAAUAUAACGAAAGAGUAGAUAUUGUAAGUUAUGUUUGCCACCUCGAUGUCGACUCAACAUUUCCUCUUGGUUGUAAAAGCUAAGAAGGGUUUGACUGUUCGUCAAUUAAAAUGUUACGUGAGUUGGGUUAAAUACGAUGUGAAUCAGUAUGGUUCCUAUCUGCUGAAGGAAAUAUUAUCAAAUUAAAUCUCAUUAUUAGUACGCAAGGACCAUAAUGAAUCAACCCAUGGUGUAUCUAUUGAUAAUAAUAUAAUAUAUUUAAUAAAAAAAAAAAAUAAUACUUUAUUAAUAUAUUAUCUAUAUUAGUUUAUAUUUUUAUUAUAUAUUAUCAUAGUAGAUAAGCUAAGUUGAUAAUAAAUAAAUAUUGAAUACAUAUUAAAUAUGAAGUUGUUUUAAUAAGAUAAUUAAUCUGAUAAUUUUAUACUAAAAUUAAUAAUUAUAGGUUUUAUAUAUUAUUUAUAAAUAAAUAUAAUAUAAUAAUAAUAAUUAUUAUUAUUAUUAAUAAAAAUAAAAAAAAUAUUAAUUAUAAUAUUAAUAAAAUACUAAUUUAUCAGUUAUCUAUAUAAUAUCUAAUCUAUUAUUCUAUAUACU
Molecule: ribosomal RNA, 3302 nt
Filed under: Saccharomyces cerevisiae YJM1399
Lineage: Eukaryota; Fungi; Ascomycota; Saccharomycetes; Saccharomycetales; Saccharomycetaceae
Description: 21S ribosomal RNA
Rfam family: Bacterial large subunit ribosomal RNA
Source: RNAcentral